This 135-nucleotide ribosomal RNA is filed under the name uncultured bacterium. Its description in RNAcentral is "partial 16S ribosomal RNA". It matches the Rfam family "Bacterial small subunit ribosomal RNA", at positions 362 to 509 of the family's 1533-position model. The record is from RNAcentral.
UAUUGCACAAUGGGCGCAAGCCUGAUGCAGCGACGCCGCGUGAGGGAUGACGGCCUUCGGGUUGUAAACCUCUUUCACCCAUGACGAAGCGCAAGUGACGGUAGUGGGAGAAGAAGCACCGGCCAACUACGUGCC